UUCAUUUUGUUGUUUGUGGCUCUUGUGUCACAGCCAGGAAAUCACUGUUAAAUCCAAUGUUGUGUUGCUUUUGUCCUUUGCUAGAUGGGAAGAG
Molecule: non-coding RNA, 94 nt
Organism: Vicugna pacos (alpaca)
Lineage: Eukaryota; Metazoa; Chordata; Mammalia; Artiodactyla; Camelidae
Source: RefSeq, a predicted model, not a curated record